AAGUCGUAACAAGGUUUCCGUAGGUGAACCUGCGGAAGGAUCAUUAAUUAAAUGAUAAACAUCAAUCAGCCACGUGAGUGGGUAAUUGAUUAGUUUAAUUGGUUAUUUAUAAUCAAUUGACCAGUCGAUUAUUAAUACUCUAUUGGCAUUUUGUUCAAUUAUUGAAAUAGUAUUUUAAAUAUUAUUUCAAGCUAUUUUGGGGGUAAAAUCCCAAAAUUAAAACUAAUUUUAAUAUUAUUUAAACUAAAACGCAUUCUAUUGUAUUUAAUUGUAAAAUUAAUAUAACAACUAAUAACAAUGGAUCUCUUGGCACU
This 314-nucleotide unclassified non-coding RNA is filed under the name fungal sp. RNAcentral's name for it is "partial internal transcribed spacer region". The stretch from base 1 to 46 matches the Rfam family "Eukaryotic small subunit ribosomal RNA", at positions 1786 to 1831 of the family's 1831-position model. The record is from RNAcentral. Lineage: Eukaryota; Fungi.